ACGUAAUGGCGACAAAACACUUCCGGCCCCUGCUCCUCGGCCCCGUUCAUUUAUUAACUAUCAACUUCCGGUUGAUCCUUCUUUUCGGCAACGGCUACAAACUCGCCAACAUGCCACUCGCAAAGGACCUGUUGCACCCAACCUCAGAGGAGGAGAAGAGGAGUCACAAGAAGAAGCGUCUUGUACAGAGCCCUAACUCGUAUUUUAUGGACGUCAAAUGUCCAGGAUGCUAUAAGAUCACGACAGUGUUCAGUCAUGCCCAGACGGUCGUCCUGUGUGUCGGAUGCUCCACAGUCCUGUGUCAACCUACAGGGGGUAAAGCACGCCUCACAGAAGAUCGAUGUGCCUCAUCGUGGAGUCUGACAUUCACCGCAGCACCAUGGACUGACGAAGCAGACACAGGAGGAAUGUGUUAGACCCCCUGUUAAAUUACACAUUCGUUGUGAGAAAAUCGCAAAAAUAUGAUAAAUGGCUCAUUGGAGAGAAGACAACCUCUCGUGUUAUGACAUCGGCCCGUAUUCAAAUCUGACAUGUAUGACAGACGGUUUUGCAAUCUAAAAGUCAUAUUCCUAUUAACUUCCAGGGUAGUGAGAGCCUAUCAGUGCUACAUCAUACCAGCCUGAAUUUCUGGCUGCUUGAACGGCAAUGGCUCAGAUACACAUGAAAUGACCAAGGAUGCUCAUUCAGGAGGAAACAGCACUAGACUCUCAGCAAUGGAGCUUGUUGGACCGAGAGACCCAAUGGAGGAGAGACGGGAUUGACCCAACAGUGACCCUGCUCAGGAAGUGACAACGCGAGAGGAAAAGUGGAGAUGAAGAGGAAAGAUGGUGUUGAGCUCUGCUUUGUGUAUGUAGAGAGAGAACGUCCCCUGGCAUGAUGACAUCACUGUAACAUCACUCCACCGGUCUCUCACUUCUUAAUAAAGUUUAGUUUUUUCCUUUAAAGAAUCCAA
Molecule: RNA transcript, 952 nt
Organism: Oncorhynchus kisutch (coho salmon)
Lineage: Eukaryota; Metazoa; Chordata; Actinopteri; Salmoniformes; Salmonidae
Gene name: 40S ribosomal protein S27
Exons: 5
Source: RefSeq, a predicted model, not a curated record